GGUGACCUCGGAUCAG
This 16-nucleotide ribosomal RNA is filed under the name Colletotrichum siamense. Its description in RNAcentral is "partial 28S ribosomal RNA". The record is from RNAcentral. Lineage: Eukaryota; Fungi; Ascomycota; Sordariomycetes; Glomerellales; Glomerellaceae.